Gossypium arboreum is the source of this 141-nucleotide non-coding RNA. The record is from Rfam. Lineage: Eukaryota; Viridiplantae; Streptophyta; Magnoliopsida; Malvales; Malvaceae.
GACCCGAACAUGGGUAAUCUAUCCAAGACUAGGAUGAAGCUUAGGUGAAAUUAAGUUGAGGUCUGAACCGAUUGAUAUUGAAGGAUUGGUAGGUGAGUUGUGGUUAAGGGUGAAAUGCCAUUCAAAUUUAGAGCUAGUUAG